Microtus ochrogaster (prairie vole) is the source of this 3931-nucleotide long non-coding RNA. RefSeq lists it as uncharacterized. The transcript is spliced from 6 exons. NCBI's taxonomy places the organism in Eukaryota, Metazoa, Chordata, Mammalia, Rodentia, Cricetidae. The record is from RefSeq and is a predicted model, not a curated record.
CUCUGAUGACAACUGAACUAUGAACCAAUCUGAUCUCACCAUUUGUUGAAGAGGCCGUCUUUGUCCAGGGUGUUUCUGGCAUCUUUGUUGUAUUGGAGAUGUGACAGCUGUCUAGGGGAUUGAUGAAUUUGCUCCCUGACACGAACAAAGAAUUGAAUGACUAGGAAGACAGAAAACACAGCUUUAUCCUGUCAAGAUGGGAGAAAUCUAAAGCUGGAAGUCCAUUAAACAGAGGCUGACUUGGACACAGGACUUAGAGGAUUUGAGCUGAAGCUGACCUGAAAGCCUCUUCCCUGAGGACUAGCUUUCCCAGUAAUGGAAGGCGCUGUACAAGCUGCUGGAAGAGGGAAGCCGUCAACUGUCUGUGAGGCCUAUGACCAAAGCAUGAGCAGCAUUGAUAUGUGUAGCUCUCACCCCUCAUCAAAGACGCUUCCCUUUACAAAAGACAGAGACAAUCCAGAAAACCCCAAGUGGUCACAGUGCAGAGAACAAGUGAUGGGUUGAAGUGUGCAUCUUGACUGUCUCUUGAGAGCGUGUUGGCAUCAGGAAAGGUAUGAGCAUCGGUCUCUGCAAGGCUUGGAAUAUCUAACAGAGAUAGUGCCUACAGAAAGCAGGUAUGCUCUGCGCUGGCUGCUUACUGUUGCUGCCCUUUGUCUACAUGGAUCUCGUGAUGUGGACAUGGAGUCAUUGUGCUAGAGUGGGGUAUGUUCGUGUUUUUGAGGUGAGUAAGGACAUGUCUUCGGUCUAGCACAAAAUAGCCCAUUGAGCAGCACGUGACAGUGAGAAGGUUGAGGUCAGUGCUUACCUUUGUUGAGCUGUGCAUCCUUCCUCAUCCCAUGUGUGGAACCGGGGUCAGGUCACUAUGGGGGAGCAGGUGUCCAGAAAAUAGGGUUUGCUGAGCUAAUUUUGGGCAGUUGAAAGUGCCACAUUAUUGCUACAAUGAGUGGAGACUUUGGGGCAGCGGAGUAUGGCUUUCUGUCUGCUUUCAGCUCUCUCUUCCAAGUGAUCCUGCUUUUUUGCUGCGGUACCAGCAAGAGUGAAGAAGGAGGUAAUGUCUGGCCUUCAGUGGGACAGAUUGGAAGCAAUAGAGAUACAGCAAUCUAAAACAUAUUAGAAGGCACUUUCUGAGAGCAAUCUUAGGUUAUUCUUAAAGAUACUCACUAGAAAAUUCAUUGGCGUACAUUUCUAUUUGACUUAUUUUGCUGCUGUAAUUAAGAAAAAUUUCUAACAACAGGUAUACAGUGAUGUCAAACAGAAACCCCUUUUGAUAUUACCAAAUGAAAGUCAAAAAAUGCUCCUCCUUCACCUGGACUUCUUGAUUCCCUUUGGUGUGUUCCACCCUAGAGUAACAUGGCACCAAACAGACAGUUCCUUGGCAUCCAGGAAUUUUAUGUUCUAUUAUGUGUGUGUGUCUAUUUAUAGAUCUGUAUACAAUUGGUGGGAAUUUUAUACAUAGCUACAAUGAAAGAUAAUUAUGUGUGAUCCUCAGUUUCCCUCUCCAACUUCUGUCAUGUCCCCCAGCCCCCAGCACGCCCCUCUUAACUUCUGUCAUGUCCCCCAGCCCCCAGCACGCCCCUCUUAACUUCAUGUCUUCUUUUUUGUAGCCCUCUCAGCCCAGUUAUUGCUCCCUAAAGGAAACCUAGCAGUAAAAACCCUCAAAAAGCAACGGUUCUCCCUCUCCCCGCAGCUGUUGGCUGUCAAUAGCGUUUCUUCUUUAAGGAGAGAAUCCAGACGAGCACCCCUCUCUGAGUGUGGGCUGACUUGAUCUUCUGCAGGUACACACAGCUGAUGUCAGUUCAUGACUCUGGUCACCACGUCAUGUCCAGAAGACAGCAUGUUUUGCAGUGGCAGCAGUCAAUGAGGAGAUGCAAGAUCGGUCAGAGUGCUCAGAGGAAGACUGCUCUGUUUCAGAGAGGUGUUCCUGCCUCCAGGUUCUUGCCUUGACUCCAUGGAUGGUGGACUACAAGCUAAGAAGAAGGAAACGAUUUCCUCCUCCCAGGUUGCUCUUGGUCAUGGUGUUUUAUCACAGCAGUGCAGACCUGCGGCUCCACGUAUGUAAUUCUUCCCAUGGAUAGGAUCCAGAGUUGGGUAAGGGCAUUGAUGGCUUUUCCCCACAACCUGCAUGGGGUCUUCCAGCACUGUGCACACCAGCCAGCAGUAGCCAGCUUAGCGGUAGCUUCCUUCAGUGAUAUAGUCUUCCCAUCUAGUUCUGGCGGCUGACCCAACAAUGGCAGUACUGUCCAUUGUUUGGGAGCCUCUACCCAACAACUCAGAAGGAAAUAACCCACAACUGGCGUUGACAUUUUUGUUUCAAAAUCUACGGUUUUUGUGAGCAGCAUUAUUCGCUCGUUUAGGGUAUCACCAUUUAAAAAUUUUAGCUCUCUAAUUGGACUUAAGGCCUGCUUAAUAGGAGAGAAACCACGGCUGGUACUGAAAACCUAGCCAACUACCCAGGGCUAGUGAAGUCAUGGAUCUUGGAGGGGAACCCACAACCACCACUCUACUAAACCAUCAUAAUCCCUAACUAUGCUCUUAACUCCUUGUAUUCACAGGUAAGUAGAGUCCUCUCUCAUCAUUUUUUUUUCUGUUUGCAACAGACAGAGACUACUACAGAAAACAACAACCCAUCAAGCUGCAGAGUUGUGGAGCCUGUCCCAGUGGAUACAUCUGCAAAACAACUGCACCUAAGGCUCUGGGAAGAUUUUUAGAAUAGGAGGCAGAAAGAUUCUGAGAACUAGAGGAUCAGGGAACAAGCUGUGAGGCUCUGUCUCCUAGUAAUGCCAUGACUUACCCAUAAUGUGUCAGCACUGUGACUGCCCAAACAUAAGCUGAACAGGAACAAAAACAGACAUGCCCAAAUGGACAGGGGAUGCCCGCUAGGCCUCAGCCCUAUACAAAGAACAAUGAGGCAACUAAGGAAUACUGAGAGCUGAAGAAACAGUCUUCUCCAGAGAAGAGCAUAGCAAUUGUUUGUCCCAUACCAAAUGAUCAGUCCUGGAAGCAUACAUACAAGUAACAUGAUAAACACUGAGGGGCUAUAUUUAGAAGUAGAUAUGUAUAUACAUCAGCAUACACAUAUGCAUGAAACCAGUUCAUGAAAAAAGAGGCCAUAAAUUUGAAAGAGAACAAGGAGGGGUAUAUGUGCGUUUUUAGAAGGAGGAAAAGAAAGGAAGGAAAGGUGGAAUUAUAAUGACAAAAAGAAAACAAAUCUUUAGUUAUCUUCUAAAUUUAGGAAGUUUCUGCCUGGCUGUUGCCUCUGUCCUAAGUUUCGGUUGACCCUUUUCUCAACCCCAUUGCCCCUGACACCGUCCUUGUUUAAGCCUUUCGAGUCCUUGUAUUCCCCCAAUGGCACUUCCAUGUCACAAGCAUUUUACUGCCCCUUCCCUCAAGAGCGACUCUUGCUCCCUGACUUGUACAGACAGUAACUCCUAUUUAAACACAGAAAUGCAAAACUGUGUGAGAGAACACGUGGCUGCUGUGGCCAUUGUGACAAAGACGCUCAAACAUACAUUAGAGAACAGGAGGGCAUCCUGUUGACGUAUAGUUCUGGGGAAACGAGAUAGACACGUAGAAGACUCCAACUGGAUUCCUAUCAUUUAUCCUGAAGAAAAAUCAGUUCUAAAGGGAUCAAAGAACUUAAGAGACCAGAAAUUCUGAACAUGUCAGAGGAAGGUAGAGGGAAAAUUCCACAACAGAGGGUACAGCCAAGAACUUUCUCAAAAGGUUCAAUAGCUCAGGGAAUGUUCUACAUAUUUGGUGGAUGGGGUUAUGAGUAAUUAACAGCUUUCUCCACAGCAAAAGCAAGUGCACUGCCGGAGUGAAGAGACAGCAUUUGGAAUGGGUGAAAAAUAUUUGCUACAUAUCCAGCAGGCAGAAAAUUAAUGAAUACGCAGAUAAUCCUACCAACUACAAAAGAACCAAACAACGUAAA